This is a long non-coding RNA of Sardina pilchardus (European sardine), 348 nucleotides long. RefSeq lists it as uncharacterized. NCBI's taxonomy places the organism in Eukaryota, Metazoa, Chordata, Actinopteri, Clupeiformes, Clupeidae. The record is from RefSeq and is a predicted model, not a curated record. The transcript has 3 exons.
ACCCCAGGUGUCCAGCAGAGGCGCCAUACUAUGAUGAGAACACUGGGAACUGCACCACGCUGCAGGACUGCACCUGCCUCUUCAAUGGUACAGUCCCUAAGGCAUGACACUGAAGUGAGCACGCCCAGUGGAAACUGCACAUGCACAGAUGGAAUCAUGGACUGUGUCCCAUGUCCUACGACCCCACCACCGACAACCUUGACAACCAUGGCAACACGAUGGACAACACCAUCAACAACAUUCCCAACUACAACACCACCACCAACAACAACACCGGCAAUGCUCCCACCUUCCAUUACCACUGAUUUUAUAGUAAUAACAGACCCCACAUCUUCAAAUCCACCAACA